RNAcentral lists this ribosomal RNA (634 nucleotides) under Hemileucoglossum alveolatum. RNAcentral describes it as "eukaryotic LSU rRNA". It matches the Rfam family "Eukaryotic large subunit ribosomal RNA", at positions 26 to 667 of the family's 3401-position model. The record is from RNAcentral. Lineage: Eukaryota; Fungi; Ascomycota; Geoglossomycetes; Geoglossales; Geoglossaceae.
CGCUGAACUUAAGCAUAUCAAUAAGCGGAGGAAAAGAAACCAACAGGGAUUGCCUCAGUAACGGCGAGUGAAGCGGCAACAGCUCAAAUUUGAAAUCUGGUCCCCCGCAGGGGCCCGAGUUGUAAUUUGCAGAGGAGAUCUUCGGGUUUGGCCCCGGCCUAAGUUCCUUGGAACAGGACGUCACAGAGGGUGAGAAUCCCGUAUGUGGCUGGAGGUCUAUGCCCAUGUGAAGCUCCUUCGACGAGUCGAGUUGUUUGGGAAUGCAGCUCAAAAUGGGUGGUAAGUUUCAUCUAAAGCUAAAUACCGGCGGGAGACCGAUAGCGCACAAGUAGAGUGAUCGAAAGAUGAAAAGCACUUUGGAAAGAGAGUUAAAAAGUACGUGAAAUUGUUGAAAGGGAAGCGCUUGCGACCAGACUUGCCCUCGGCUGAUCAAUCGGUGUUCCUCACCGGUGCACUCGGUCGUGGUCAGGCCAGCAUCGGUCUGGGCGGUUGGAGAAAGACCCCGUGGAAUGUGGCUCCCCUCGGGGAGUGUUAUAGCCCGGGGUGUCAUGCAGCCAGCCUGGACCGAGGACCGCGCCUUCGGGCUAGGAUGCUGGCGUAAUGGUCGUAAGCGACCCGUCUUGAAACACGGACC